Molecule: ribosomal RNA, 1487 nt
Filed under: metagenome
Description: bacterial SSU rRNA
Rfam family: Bacterial small subunit ribosomal RNA
Source: RNAcentral
AGAGUUUGAUCCUGGCUCAGAUUGAACGCUGGCGGGAUGCCUUACACAUGCAAGUCGAACGGCAGCACGGACUUCGGUCUGGUGGCGAGUGGCGAACGGGUGAGUAAUGUAUCGGAACGUGCCCAGUAGCGGGGGAUAACUACGCGAAAGCGUAGCUAAUACCGCAUACGCCCUACGGGGGAAAGCGGGGGAUCGCAAGACCUCGCACUAUUGGAGCGGCCGAUAUCGGAUUAGCUAGUUGGUGGGGUAACGGCUCACCAAGGCGACGAUCCGUAGCUGGUUUGAGAGGACGACCAGCCACACUGGGACUGAGACACGGCCCAGACUCCUACGGGAGGCAGCAGUGGGGAAUUUUGGACAAUGGGGGCAACCCUGAUCCAGCCAUCCCGCGUGUGCGAUGAAGGCCUUCGGGUUGUAAAGCACUUUUGGCAGGAAAGAAACGGCGCCGGAUAAUACCUGGCGUAACUGACGGUACCUGCAGAAUAAGCACCGGCUAACUACGUGCCAGCAGCCGCGGUAAUACGUAGGGUGCAAGCGUUAAUCGGAAUUACUGGGCGUAAAGCGUGCGCAGGCGGUUCGGAAAGAAAGAUGUGAAAUCCCAGGGCUUAACCUUGGAACUGCAUUUUUAACUACCGGGCUAGAGUGUGUCAGAGGGGGGUGGAAUUCCACGUGUAGCAGUGAAAUGCGUAGAUAUGUGGAGGAACACCGAUGGCGAAGGCAGCCCCCUGGGAUAACACUGACGCUCAUGCACGAAAGCGUGGGGAGCAAACAGGAUUAGAUACCCUGGUAGUCCACGCGGUAAACGAUGGAUGCUCGCUGUUUGCGUCUGACGUAAGCGGCCAAGCGAAAGCGUUAAGCAUCCCACCUGGGGAGUACGCCGGCAACGGUGAAACUCAAAGGAAUUGACGGGGGCCCGCACAAGCGGAGGAACAUGUGGUUUAAUUCGAUGAUACGCGAGGAACCUUACCCGGGCUUGAACUGCAGGCGAACGAUUCAGAGAUGAUGAGGCCCUUCGGGGCGCCUGUGGAGGUGCUGCAUGGUUGUCGUCAGCUCGUGCCGUGAGGUGUCGGCUUAAGUGCCAUAACGAGCGCAACCCUUGUUCGUAGUUGCCAUCGGGUUAUGCCGGGCACUCUGCGAAGACUGCCUCCGUAAGGAGUGAGGAAGGUGGGGAUGACGUCAAAUCAGCACGGCCCUUACGUUCGGGGCUACACACGUGUUACAAUGGCAUGUACAGAAAGCUGGGUGUAUGCAAAUACGCUCGAAUCCCUAAAACAUGUCUCAGUUCGGACUGGGGUCUGCAACCCGACCCCACGAAGCUGGAUUCGCUAGUAAUCGCGCAUCAGCCAUGGCGCGGUGAAUACGUUCCCGGGCCUUGUACACACCGCCCGUCAAGCCAUGAAAGCCGGGGGCGCCUAAAGUCCGUGACCGCGAGGGUCGGCCUAGGGUGAAACCGGUGAUUGGGGCUAAGUCGUAACAAGGUAACCGUA